GAGGAACUAGCCUUAGCGAGGCCAUGGGGGAAAAAGUCUAACUGGCGGAACUCCUGGGAACUGGGGCGAUGGGCUCUUAGUAUCGGAGGAUUGGAGCCAUCUGAUUUUUACCUGAAAUUCCUUAGUCUCUCCUGUGUUGGGGAAAUGGUCACCUUGCCUUCAGGGACCUGGGCUUUCAGCUGUCCAUACCUGGCCCUGGUUGAUGGCGGCAUGCUGGGCAGUGCACGUGAAGACGCACAUGAGACCGGGACUUGCUGUGUUGCCCAGGCUGGUCUUGAACUCCUGGUCUUAAGCAAUCAUACUGCUUUGGCCACCCAAAGCACUGGGAUUACAGGCGUGAACCACCACACCCAGCUCUUAAAACCACAGUAUUUCUAGCACAGGACUGCACCAAGGGGCAAUGCAGUACUGCAGCCUUCCUCUGACUCAGUUUGGAUUCUCUCUGUCCGUUCUCACCACACUACUAAGGAGAGAACAGUGCCAGGCAGGGGAAGGAGAGGUACCUGAAGUUCUUUCUCCAGUUGAGCCUGAAGCUCUUCCAUCCCCGAGGGCAGCACUAGCCUGGAGGGCA
RNAcentral lists this long non-coding RNA (571 nucleotides) under Homo sapiens (human). RNAcentral describes it as "lncAB237.3". Lineage: Eukaryota; Metazoa; Chordata; Mammalia; Primates; Hominidae. The record is from RNAcentral.